ACCUGUGUAGGGAGGAAGGCAAACAUGACACUGUCAGUGCAUGAGGAGGAGGAGCCAUCGGCUGCGCACAAGUGGCAGAGGCCAAGGAGUGAGCUGCAAUGCCGUCUAACCUGGGGCGAAAGGCACACUACACCCUGGAUUUGUCUCCAAUCAAUCAUUUAGAGACAGACAACCCAUUCAUUUAUUCACACAGGGACUGAAUGGGAAGAGGACCCACACUGCUUGCACGGAUGUCAAAUGAGUACACCGCCAUAGAGGAUAAGGCACUUACAAAUGUCAGCAAACAGAUUUUCAGAAUAUUUGUCGAUGCAGACAUGCGGCGUGAAAAGAGGAGUCUCCUGUCAGAAUUACUUCAAAAAUGACCCCCUUCUAUUCCGCUGUCAUUCUUCAACACAUCAGUCAUCCAGGAGGCUCUUGUUCAGUGCUUCAAUCAGGGCAACGCACCAGGAGUACAUCUCAUUUUUUGUAGAGUCUGUGUCGAGAUUAUAAUUGGAGUUUAACUUUAGACCUGCACAAGUACACAGUUGUCCCCUUUUUUUUUUUUUUUGAAGCUCGAUGGUUUUUCAAAUUCACAUGACUUAGUUGAUUCGGGAACAUACAUGACCCUCUGCGGGACCUGGCACUUACUAAUAAGCACUAAGCACAAAUAAGCACUAAGCACAUUGCAAACUGAGUGAGAAAACCAAACUUCUAUUGUGCAGCCCUAUUUCUGACAGUGAAGUGAAAUGCAUGCAAUUUGUCAGGUGUCGGUUGAUCUCACUGCACACACACCCAUAAUGUAUAAUAAAUGAACAUAUCUUUCAACACUGAGCACCAGAGCCAUCAUUUUUGUCAUGCAAUGGAUGAUUCAUAUUCUAGCUGGGUUAGUGUUCUAUGGUGUCCUCUAACAGCAGCUUAGAGAAAGAAAGGCAAGAAUAAAGUGACAUGCAGGGACAUACGUCGGGGUUGUGUGAUGGGUGGGGGGGCUAAACAUUUUUUACUGCAAUGUCACUCACAGGCUGCGUGACAGAUGUGACAAUAUUCUCCCCAAAACUAGUGCGUGGAGCCGCAUUGCCGAGCUCCCCGCAGAGGACACCCUUGCACGGAUGAUGAUGACCAAGGGUGAGGCAUGCACUGAAUAGAAAGUCGCCCCCCACCCCCACCCCCCACACCCACGCGGGACAAGUG
Long non-coding RNA from Hippocampus comes (tiger tail seahorse), 1167 nucleotides. RefSeq lists it as uncharacterized. The record is from RefSeq and is a predicted model, not a curated record. NCBI's taxonomy places the organism in Eukaryota, Metazoa, Chordata, Actinopteri, Syngnathiformes, Syngnathidae. The transcript is spliced from 3 exons.